Long non-coding RNA from Salvelinus sp. IW2-2015, 1290 nucleotides. RefSeq lists it as uncharacterized. NCBI's taxonomy places the organism in Eukaryota, Metazoa, Chordata, Actinopteri, Salmoniformes, Salmonidae. The record is from RefSeq and is a predicted model, not a curated record.
CUCUUCAGUUCAAGCUAAGUAGCAGCAAUGGUAAGCAACACUCGAACGAAUCAUCAUUCGGCGUGUCUGUUUAUAUUUCAGUAAGGUUGUUUAAUUUGCUAAUAUCACAUGUUCUGAGAGAAGCACGUAGCUACGUGAAUGUUAGAAAACAGUUUGUUAUUUUGCUACCGGUACCUAACGUCAGCUAGGCUAACUAGUUAACUUCCGGCGGGACCUGUACUUUCUUGUGACCUAGUUGGUUAUAUAGUUAGCUGGUUAAGCUGGAAACUAUGUCUUUGUCAAUCUUGUGGUAAAGCUAAUGUUAAUCGUAAAGUUGUGCUUUUUCAAUUAAAUGCUUACCUACUCGUGCGAGACGUUUUAUUGUUAGCUGACUAUUCCAGUUUCCACGUGGCACUGCUCGCGGCCCUUAACGAUGCAGAUUCUUCACUUUUUUUGAUGAAUCUUUCAACAGAGGCAAAUAUUUGACCGACGGCCUCUAAGUUGUACAUUAUCAKUAACUUUUUUUAGUUGGAAUAUAUACUUUAUGUUAUGCUGGCUGUAAUGUUCCGUUUUGUACAACGUAAGCCUACAGCGCUGGCUAACGGUAGGCUUAACGUUACUGAGCAUACCGAACAGUUGAUUUUUUUUUAGGUAGACCUCAGGUCAUACGAUCAUCCCUACCCAACCAAUAUGGCUAAUGCAGCUCAGGUCAAUUAUGUUCUAGACGUGGAUGAUGAACAAAUGGAUAUACAGAAGGAUUGAAAUKUCAGUCUGCAGGAGCUUCAUAGGCUGGAAUGAGAAUGAACUAGUGGACGUUCUGAUUUGGAGGUGUACAACCUCUGAACAGACCAGUGGGAUUGAGAAUUAACCACUGGACAUUUUAAAGUUCUUGUGCCUAUUGGAGGUGCGAUGACCCCAUCAUCUUGGGAUUGAAUGGCUGGUAUGGCGGUACAGGUGUGCCUCAACACUGCAUUGAAAUGCCCCAAUCCAGGUUCUGAUGGGUAUGGCUGUCCAUAGUUCUUGCAACUGGCUCUCUGGGUGAUGUGAUCGGCACUGAUCAAUUCCACUUCCAUGGUGUGGCCCAAGUCCAGGGUUUUAAGGUCUUGGUACACCAACCAAGUUGGAUGAGGCCCCUUCUGUACACAAGUGUUUCUCUGGCUUGUCACUUAUUGCCUAUUGCGUGCAUCUGGACGUUGUUAGGAGACCUGUUACAGAAUGUGUGAAAUCAUUGGUKGUUCAAUUGUGUGGGAUGUUGUCUCAACCUGCAACAAAUGUCCUGCAUUUCAUCAAUAAAUAUAAUUAUCACAUUGA